Camellia sinensis is the source of this 1173-nucleotide non-coding RNA. The record is from RefSeq and is a predicted model, not a curated record. Lineage: Eukaryota; Viridiplantae; Streptophyta; Magnoliopsida; Ericales; Theaceae.
UGAACUAUGCUAGCAAUGUUAUAUGUUAUUAAUUUUACUAUUUAUAUGAAUCAUCAUAUGAUAUAAUAUCAUAUCAUGUACCAUAUAAAAAAACAAAUAUAUAAAGGGUUGGGAAUGCUCUGUUUUUUGUGGUUCAAAAGAAAGGGAAUUAUCUUAUUAUUGUGUAGCUAUUUGCUUUGUUCUUUUUUGCAUUUAUUAAUGAAAUUUGAACAUUGAGAGCAUUAAACUAUUAGAUAUUGCUCUGGCAUAGCCAUAAGUUAGAACUGCUCUCCAAUAGCUCUAUUCAUUUUAUUUAUCAUUUUAUUUGUUUAAAUGUAAGAUAAUAACCAUUACAUUUAUGGCAUAUUUGUUUAGAUGGACGAGUCAAAGAGAACUACAAUAUAAUAAACUGUUAGUUCUAGAAUGAAGCAAUUAACCCAUCAGAGAGGUUACACAGAUCAAAUAGAAGAUGCAAAUGCUGUCAUAUUUACUUUUGGGUCAUAUCGCUUGGGGUUGCCAUAAUGGCCCAACACUCACAGCCUCUUGAUGUCAAUGUAGAGGCACAGAAGGAGGCAGCCUCCCAUUCUAGUGUCGGUAAGACAUUAAAGUUAUUUAUAUUAAUGAGCUUUUUGUUGAGGAUUGAGUGAACUUAGCUCUAAAUUCUCUAGAGUGUUUUCCUUUUAUCUUCUUGUGGGUUGAUGGGUUUUUCCUUAUUUAUUGCUUUGGUUUUUGUUGAGGGUUGAGUGACAAUAGACCUAUAUUUUUGCUUUGGUUUUAUCUUAUCUGGAAACAAAGAGGGAAAAAAAGCACACCCACAUAUACAUUGAUAAAAUAUCAUCCCUAGGUAUAUAUAUAUUCUGUCACUGUAGUUGUUUUUGUGCGGGUUCAAAAGCACUUUUACAUUAUUGGAGGGUCAACCCCAUUUUGUCCCUUGUGACGAGUAAGUGAAAAAUUAAUAAUGGACUUGUUGGGAAUGUCUUUUCUUGUGAUACUUUUUGGCGGGCAAAUAUGAUAUGAGUGGUACAUUUGAGGCAUUUCUUUUGGCCCCAUCUAUUGUUGGAUUAGAAUUUUUGUCGAAAAAAUGUGAAUAAAAAGUUUUAAAUAAAGGUUAAGUUUAUGUAAAUAUUGUACAAAAUAUAAUGUAUUUGGACCUUUGUAAUAUAUAGGAAUAGCCGCCCUAUGCUGUAUAUGUGG